RNAcentral lists this long non-coding RNA (216 nucleotides) under Trifolium pratense (red clover). RNAcentral describes it as "long non-coding RNA (TPRA_LNC001679)". Lineage: Eukaryota; Viridiplantae; Streptophyta; Magnoliopsida; Fabales; Fabaceae. The record is from RNAcentral.
UUACGAAAAGUCGCAAUAAUUAAAAGCUAAAUAAUAUUUAUAUAAAUAAUAUUUUUUUUAUAAGAUAUAAAUAAUAAUAUUAUAUAAAUAAUAAUUAUUAUAAACAGGCCGGCCUAUCAGGCUUCGUAGGCCUUUUUAGAAGCCUAAGUCUGGCCUAUUUAUGUAAACAGGCCGUUUUCAAAGCCUAAGCCUGACAUUUUUAAUAACCAGGCCAGG